This 1430-nucleotide ribosomal RNA is filed under the name Klebsiella pneumoniae. Its description in RNAcentral is "bacterial SSU rRNA". It matches the Rfam family "Bacterial small subunit ribosomal RNA". Lineage: Bacteria; Pseudomonadati; Pseudomonadota; Gammaproteobacteria; Enterobacterales; Enterobacteriaceae. The record is from RNAcentral.
GGCAGCUACACAUGCAAGUCGAGCGGUAGCACAGAGAGCUUGCUCUCGGGUGACGAGCGGCGGACGGGUGAGUAAUGUCUGGGAAACUGCCUGAUGGAGGGGGAUAACUACUGGAAACGGUAGCUAAUACCGCAUAACGUCGCAAGACCAAAGUGGGGGACCUUCGGGCCUCAUGCCAUCAGAUGUGCCCAGAUGGGAUUAGCUAGUAGGUGGGGUAACGGCUCACCUAGGCGACGAUCCCUAGCUGGUCUGAGAGGAUGACCAGCCACACUGGAACUGAGACACGGUCCAGACUCCUACGGGAGGCAGCAGUGGGGAAUAUUGCACAAUGGGCGCAAGCCUGAUGCAGCCAUGCCGCGUGUAUGAAGAAGGCCUUCGGGUUGUAAAGUACUUUCAGCGGGGAGGAAGGCGAUAAGGUUAAUAACCUUGUCGAUUGACGUUACCCGCAGAAGAAGCACCGGCUAACUCCGUGCCAGCAGCCGCGGUAAUACGGAGGGUGCAAGCGUUAAUCGGAAUUACUGGGCGUAAAGCGCACGCAGGCGGUCUGUCAAGUCGGAUGUGAAAUCCCCGGGCUCAACCUGGGAACUGCAUUCGAAACUGGCAGGCUAGAGUCUUGUAGAGGGGGGUAGAAUUCCAGGUGUAGCGGUGAAAUGCGUAGAGAUCUGGAGGAAUACCGGUGGCGAAGGCGGCCCCCUGGACAAAGACUGACGCUCAGGUGCGAAAGCGUGGGGAGCAAACAGGAUUAGAUACCCUGGUAGUCCACGCCGUAAACGAUGUCGAUUUGGAGGUUGUGCCCUUGAGGCGUGGCUUCCGGAGCUAACGCGUUAAAUCGACCGCCUGGGGAGUACGGCCGCAAGGUUAAAACUCAAAUGAAUUGACGGGGGCCCGCACAAGCGGUGGAGCAUGUGGUUUAAUUCGAUGCAACGCGAAGAACCUUACCUGGUCUUGACAUCCACAGAACUUACCAGAGAUGGCUUGGUGCCUUCGGGAACUGUGAGACAGGUGCUGCAUGGCUGUCGUCAGCUCGUGUUGUGAAAUGUUGGGUUAAGUCCCGCAACGAGCGCAACCCUUAUCCUUUGUUGCCAGCGGUCCGGCCGGGAACUCAAAGGAGACUGCCAGUGAUAAACUGGAGGAAGGUGGGGAUGACGUCAAGUCAUCAUGGCCCUUACGACCAGGGCUACACACGUGCUACAAUGGCAUAUACAAAGAGAAGCGACCUCGCGAGAGCAAGCGGACCUCAUAAAGUAUGUCGUAGUCCGGAUUGGAGUCUGCAACUCGACUCCAUGAAGUCGGAAUCGCUAGUAAUCGUAGAUCAGAAUGCUACGGUGAAUACGUUCCCGGGCCUUGUACACACCGCCCGUCACACCAUGGGAGUGGGUUGCAAAAGAAGUAGGUAGCUUAACCUUCGGGAGGGCGCUUACCACUUGGAU